UGGGGAAUAUUGGGCAAUGGGGCGAAAGCCUGACCCAGCAACGCCGCGUGGAGGAAGAAGGUUUUCGGAUCGUAAACUCCUGUCCUCAGGGAAGAGAAGGAGACGGUACCUGAGUAGGAAGCCACGGCUAACUACGUGCCAGCAGCCGCGGUAAUACGUAGGUGGCAAGCGUUAUCCGGAAUUACUGGGUGUAAAGGGAGCGCAGGCGGGAUAGCAAGUCAGCGGUGAAAAUUAUGGGCUCAACCCAUAAACUGCCGUUGAAACUGUUAUUCUUGAGUGGAGUAGAGGCAAGCGGAAUUCCGAGUGUAGCGGUGAAAUGCGUAGAUAUUCGGAGGAACACCAGUGGCGAAGGCGGCUUGCUGGGGCUCUAACUGACGCUGAGGCUCGAAAGUGUGGGGAGCAAACAGGAUUAGAUACCCUGGUAGU
RNAcentral lists this ribosomal RNA (426 nucleotides) under uncultured Eubacterium sp. RNAcentral's name for it is "bacterial SSU rRNA". It matches the Rfam family "Bacterial small subunit ribosomal RNA", at positions 355 to 794 of the family's 1533-position model. The record is from RNAcentral. Lineage: Bacteria; Bacillati; Bacillota; Clostridia; Eubacteriales; Eubacteriaceae.